UAAAUUGCAAAGCGAUCAGUUGCUUGGGGUAUAAAUAAUGAGGCAGUGUUCUCUGUGGCAAUGAGGAACACAGACUUCAGUCAGAUGCACCUGGCUUUGAGGUCCAGCUCUGAGGCUUACCAGACAGGCGACCUGGGAAAUGGGCCCCGUUUCUCUGAGUCUCAAGUUUUCACCCCAAAUGGGAAAAAAACACCCUUGUCUUGCAGGACUGUUGUCAGCACUAAACAGCCAACAGCCACGUAUGGGACCCACAGCCUGCAGUAGCAGAUACACUAGAUGUGUUUAGUAGGUGGCAGCUUUUGGUAUUAGAGACAGUUUUUAAGAAGCUUAUCAGGCAGAUAAAUUCCUGAAAGUGCUAGACUACACUGGAGCUUGCGUUGCUGGGAGGGUGUGAAAAGUGGGUGACAUUCUUCAAAUUCUUUGACACGUUCUUUUCUAGAUGAUUAGUAUUUACGAUGCAGAGACAGAACAAAUUCGUAUAGGACCGUACUCCUGGACACCAUUUCCACAUGUGGAUUUCUGGUUGCAGCAAGAUGACAAGCAAAUACUAGAGAAUCUUUCCACUUCGCCUCUGGCCGAGCCACCCCACUUUGUUGAACAUAUUAGAUCUACCUUGAUGUUUUUAAAAAAAUACCCAUCUCCAACUAAUACAUUGUUUCCUGGAAAUAAAGCCCUAGUCUACAAAAAAAAUGAAGAUGGCUUGUGGGAAAAGAUCUCUUCAGGAAA
Long non-coding RNA from Sapajus apella (tufted capuchin), 726 nucleotides. RefSeq lists it as uncharacterized. The record is from RefSeq and is a predicted model, not a curated record. The transcript is spliced from 2 exons. NCBI's taxonomy places the organism in Eukaryota, Metazoa, Chordata, Mammalia, Primates, Cebidae.